RNAcentral lists this long non-coding RNA (1059 nucleotides) under Equus caballus (horse). RNAcentral describes it as "lncRNA (ENSECAG00000049623.1)". The record is from RNAcentral. Lineage: Eukaryota; Metazoa; Chordata; Mammalia; Perissodactyla; Equidae.
CGUGGGACUAGGGAUUGCCGGAGAUCUCGGAGAGGACCGGGGCGGGGGAACUUUCAAAGGCGGGUCCGGCGAUCCGGUGGAGAAGCGCUGGAGCUCCGCCCGGGCAGCAGACAAAACUCUCUGUCUGCCGGUAGCAGAGGGGCCACGCUGAGCAUUCAGAGCUCCCGGCAGAGGCCCGGAGAGAAGCCCAGAGGGCGGGGCGACCCCCAGCUGCCGUUGCCCACCAGGUGAGGCUAGGGAUUGCCGGAGAUCUCGGAGAGGACUGGGGCUGGAGAGAGUUCCAGAGACCCAGCUUAGUAGCCUAGGGGGAAACCCUACAGGCUCACAGAAGCCUUAGGGAAAGCCUCUGCACAGCACCAGUAGAAGGCACCCAGCCGCCAGCCACAAGGCUGGAAGACCCCAGGGCAAAAGCAGCAUAGCUAGGUGUACUAACCACAGACUGUAGAAGAUGCCAAUAGCUCUCCUGCGACCCAUAGAGGACAAGUGAGAUUUGGUGGGUGCCGACAGCAACCGAGCGACAAAUAAAAGUGAUCCCACCCCUGGCCGCUGGAAAAGCCCAUAACACCGUUGCAGACUCCAAGGAGAGAGCGCAUCUAGGUGGGCAACAACAGUAGGCACCUGCAGUCUGAAGCCCCCCGUGACGGCCCCCACGGCAGAGGAGGGAAUCCAAAGGGCCACUGUGGCUACGAAGAGGGGCCCAGGCCCAGUUAGCAACUACGGACAGGGUUCCUGGUUGGUGAAGUAUUAACAGCUGCUCCCCCCACCGCAGCAGCUGAAACAAGUGAAAGGAGCAACUAAACUCUAUCUCCAUGCGGAGGCACAAAUCAACAUCAUCAAGCAAUAUGAAAAAAUACAUCAAAUCUCCAGAACAGAAAGAAAGUAACAAAUACACAGAAAACAAUCCCAAAGAAAAUGAGAUAUAUAACCUAAAUGAUGAUGACUUCAAAACAGCCAUCAUUAAAAUACUCACUGAGUUAAGAGAGAAUUCUGACCGACAACUCAACGAGUUCAGGAGCUAUGUCACAAAAGAGUUUGAUACGAUAAAGAAGAACCAAACAG